This 468-nucleotide ribosomal RNA is filed under the name uncultured bacterium. RNAcentral describes it as "partial 16S ribosomal RNA". It matches the Rfam family "Bacterial small subunit ribosomal RNA", at positions 28 to 507 of the family's 1533-position model. The record is from RNAcentral.
GACGAACGCUGGCGGCGUGCUUAACACAUGCAAGUCGAACGGAAAGGCCCUGCUUUUUUGGUGUGCUCGAGUGGCUAACGGGUGAGUAACACGUGAGUAACCUGCCCUUGACUUUGGGAUAACUUCAGGAAACUGGGGCUAAUACCGGAUAGGAGCUCCUUCUGCAUGGUGGGGGUUGGAAAGUUUCGGCGGUUGGGGAUGGUCUCGCGGCUUAUCAGCUUGUUGGUGGGGUAGUGGCUUACCAAGGCUUUGACGGGUAGCCGGCCUGAGAGGGUGACCGGACACAUUGGGACUGAGAUACGGCCCAGACUCCUACGGGAGGCAGCAGUGGGGAAUAUUGCACAAUGGGCGGAAGCCUGAUGCAGCAACGCCGCGUGCGGGGUGACGGCCUUCGGGUUGUAAACCGCUUUCGCCUGUGACGAAGCGUGAGUGACGGUAAUGGGUAAAGAAGCACCGGCUAACUACGUG